UGUCUAUUGCCAGCAAGCUCUUCUAAGAUAGUCUUCAAGUCAUUCUGUAUUCUUUCAUGUAUAGUCCACUGACAUAGGAGGCGAAUGUAUACAUAAACUAUAGAGAAUUUAAUUGUGCAUAUUCAAUUUGUAGCUUUAUUCAUGUAAAUUAGUAGUUGAGACUCCAUGAUAAGUAUUUUCUUUACAGAAAUUUGUUUGAUUUAUUCUCAAUCAAGCCUUCAAUGUUGUAGUGUGAUAGAGUUCUUAACACAAUUUUAGAGGAGAUGGAACAUCUAUUGUGGUUCCUCUCCUAGAAUCAUAUUUGCUCUUAUUUGAUAGAUUGUAUUUGGGGAUGCAAUUUCACGGGACAUUGGAAUGUGCUGCUUUUUGUGGUGUGUAAUGACAGUGUAUUUAUAUUCAAGGCCAAGGUCAAUAUGAUGUGUGAAGCUGCUGAGAAGAUUGUGGAACUAGCCACUUUGGAGAGGACAAAGGACAAAGGCUGCUGAGGAAUAGAGUUUCAGCUCAACAAGCAAGGAAAAAGGCAUAACAAAGAAGAGGAAAGGGCAUGCUUAAAAUUAAUUGGAAACAAAAGUCAAAAAACUUAGAGAUGAAGAAUUCAGAUUUCAAGGAUAGACUCAUCACUUUGCAGAGGGUGCAUGUGGAUAUGACAUGAAGUGAAGGAUGAAUCAUAAGACAUGCAUUAUUACUAAAAAAUUAUGGACAUUAAGCACUCCAAUGGAAAAUUUUAUAAAGAAUUUUGCAGGAGGCAUUGGUAUUAAGCGAAGUGCAGAAUGAUUGGUGGAAGUUAUGUAGAGUUUACCAUUCCUAUUCCAAAGACCAAUAAAGGUACUACAAAGUACAAAUAAGUUGUUAUACAUAGAGUGGUUGGAAUGAACAAUAUUUAGCAGCUUUCAGGAUAAACCACUCACAUUUGUUGUUAAAAAUAGUUAGUCUUACAGUUAAUACAAUUUCUUUUGAGUGUUUUCAGAUGUAGAAUUCAUAGGGUAUUCGAGCUACUAUUUCAGAUAACGAGAGGGAGAAGGAUAUGAAGUUUGAAUAUUUGUGAGUCUUUAUCACGCCUAAGGAAAUAAUUGAGCUGGAUUUUUUGUAGGUAUCAUACUUAUUUUUCUGUGUUUCGGUUUUUCUGUAAUGGUUUGAAGGAUUGAUAUGUUUUAAGCGCCUCCUUCCUCCAAGUAUAAAUAAUCAUUGAGAUGGUUAUG
Lotus japonicus is the source of this 1199-nucleotide long non-coding RNA. RefSeq lists it as uncharacterized. The transcript has 4 exons. The record is from RefSeq and is a predicted model, not a curated record. Lineage: Eukaryota; Viridiplantae; Streptophyta; Magnoliopsida; Fabales; Fabaceae.